RNAcentral lists this ribosomal RNA (393 nucleotides) under uncultured bacterium. RNAcentral's name for it is "partial 16S ribosomal RNA". It matches the Rfam family "Bacterial small subunit ribosomal RNA", at positions 523 to 918 of the family's 1533-position model. The record is from RNAcentral.
AUACGGAGGAUCCGAGCGUUAUCCGGAUUUAUUGGGUUUAAAGGGUGCGCAGGCGGGAGAUUAAGUCGGUGGUGAAAUUUUGCAGCUCAACUGUAAAAGUGCCUUCGAAACUGGUUUCCUUGAAUGUAGAUGAAGUAGGCGGAAUUUGUGGUGUAGCGGUGAAAUGCAUAGAUAUCACGAGGAACUCCGAUUGCGCAGGCAGCUUACUAAACUACUACUGACGCUCAGGCACGAAGGCGUGGGGAUCAAACAGGAUUAGAUACCCUGGUAGUCCACGCAGUAAACGAUGAUUACUAGCUGUUUGCGAUACAAUGUAAGCGGCUGAGCGAAAGCGUUAAGUAAUCCACCUGGGGAGUACGUUCGCAAGAAUGAAACUCAAAGGAAUUGACGGGG